Jatropha curcas is the source of this 1975-nucleotide long non-coding RNA. RefSeq lists it as uncharacterized. The record is from RefSeq and is a predicted model, not a curated record. NCBI's taxonomy places the organism in Eukaryota, Viridiplantae, Streptophyta, Magnoliopsida, Malpighiales, Euphorbiaceae.
AAAAAAAAAAAAAAAAAAAAUCGUGUCAUCAAAGUCAUUGAACUGUGUCACUGUAUCAGAAACUGUAGCACCAAGUCUAAUGUGUUUUUUGAGCCGAGAAACAUGAAACAGAGGAUGGAUAGAAGAACCAGGUGGCAACUGAAACUUGUAAGCAGCUGGUCCAAUUUUCUCCAGAACAAGAUAUGGACCAUAAAAUUUGCAGCUGGGGUAAAAUCUGCAGAAAGGUUAUCAUAAAGGGCUUGGAAAAGACUCAUUUCAAUGCUGGUAUGGUAAAAGUGUUGUACCACCAUUGACGUAGACUUGACCAUUUGGACCAAGAAUUGGAUUUGGCAAACCCAUGCACCUUGAAUAUGUUUAUGGCAUGUAGAGUUCUUUUUUCAAUGAGUUAUAGAAAGGACAUGUGGGUACUCAAGAGACUAGCUGUCCCAUGGGCCUUCCUCAACAUGUGUCUAGAGAUGAACUCCUAUCUAUGUUACUAGAAGCCAAAAGAAAAAGGUUAGAUCCUCAUUUUGGAACUAAUGCUUCCGAUUUCAGUUUUGGAGAUUGGCAAGGUAGUUUCUACUAAGUUCCCUGAUUUGGCUUUCAAGAAAACUUUGCUAAGAGAUCUAAAACUGACAGGAUAUGAAGAUCUUUUAAAUUUGGUGCUUCAAUUCUACAAAGUUCCCUGAUUUUCUUAAACCAACGUCAGUAUUGGAGAUUGGCAAGGUAAUAUCUACUAGGUUCCCUGAUUUUCUUCAAAGAAUACUUUGCUAAGAGAUCGAAAACUGACUGGAGAUGAAGCUUUGGAAUUUGGUGCUUUAAUGUUUUUGGGAAGUAUUCCCUAAACGGGGUUAAAAAAAUGAAUAACUAAAAGAAUGAUAAGGUAGUUUCUACUGAGUUCCCUGAUUUGAUUUCAAGAAGACUUUGCCAAGAGACCUAAAACUGACUGCGGAUGAAGAUAUUUUGAAUUUGUGCUUCAAUGUUUGUGAGAAGUAUUCCCUAAAUGGGAUUAAAAUAAAUAAAUAAAUAAAAGAAAAACUUUUAUAGCUCAUGUAUGCAAGUAAUUCAGAUGCAACGAGGUCGGUCCCAAGGCCCAUUCUCGAUACGAAUUUAGGCCUCUUGGACAAGACUUUUGUCUCGCAGCAUCUCUAUAAUGAGACUGUCUAACUCGGGAACUCCUAGCCUUAUUAUCUUAUAGGAUUCUUGUUAGGAAACAAUCCAAUCAAAUUUACAAAAUGGUUCAUUUGCAACAUGGCUUACUAUCAGACUAUUUAUUAUUUCAUUAGUCUCCAAACUAUAGCACCCUUCUUUGAAUCAAGUCUUGUCUUCAACUUUGAAGUGAGGAAACUGAGAUUGCAGGAAUGACCUAUCUUCCCAAGAGGCAGCAGCAGCAGCAGGCAUGCUUUUCCAAAGAGCUAACACUUGAGAGACAGUAGCAUUAUGCCUGGUAAUGACUCUAGCAUUCAGGAUUCUUAUGAUUCAAAAAUCUAAGUCGUGAACUGUGGCAUUGUGUCAGAAAUAUUAGAACUGUGUCCAAUGUGUUUUUUGAUUCGAGAAACAUGCAACCGAGGAUGGAUAGAAGAACUAGGUGCUAACUGCAACUUGUAAGCAGCUGUUCCAAUUUUCUCCAAAACAAGAUGUGGACCAUAAAGUUUAGGACAGUUCAAGUUUUUUCUUAGAGCAACUGACUCAUGUAUAGGAGGUUGUAGUUUCGGAUAAAACGCAAUCCCCCACUCUACAGUUGCAGCGGCGUAAAACCUGCAGAGAGGUUAUCAUAAAGGGCUUGGAAUGGACUCAUUUUAAUGCUGGAAUUGUAGGAACCAUUGUACAACCAUUCAGCUAGACUUAUUACUUUUUUUUCUCCCAAUGUGUUAUACAAAGGACAUGUCUGCGUCUAAUCUGAAAGACUCAGCUCCACGGACCUUCCUCAACUUGUGUCUAGAGAUGAACUCCUAUCUAUAUGUUACUACAAGCUGAAAAAAAAAAAAAAAAAAAA